GCACAAGCGGUGGAGCAUGUGGUUUAAUUCGAUGCAACGCGAAGAACCUUACCUACUCUUGACAUCCAGAGAACUUAGCAGAGAUGCUUUGGUGCCUUCGGGAACUCUGAGACAGGUGCUGCAUGGCUGUCGUCAGCUCGUGUUGUGAAAUGUUGGGUUAAGUCCCGCAACGAGCGCAACCCUUAUCCUUUGUUGCCAGCGGUUAGGUCGGGAACUCAAAGGAGACUGCCAGUGAUAAACUGGAGGAAGGUGGGGAUGACGUCAAGUCAUCAUGGCCCUUACGAGUAGGGCUACACACGUGCUACAAUGGCAUAUACAAAGAGAAGCGACCUCGCGAGAGCAAGCGGACCUCAUAAAGUAUGUCGUAGUCCGGAUUGGAGUCUGCAACUCGACUCCAUGAAGUCGGAAUCGCUAGUAAUCGUAGAUCAGAAUGCUACGGUGAAUACGUUCCCGGGCCUUGUACAC
Molecule: ribosomal RNA, 465 nt
Filed under: Enterobacter sp.
Lineage: Bacteria; Pseudomonadati; Pseudomonadota; Gammaproteobacteria; Enterobacterales; Enterobacteriaceae
Description: bacterial SSU rRNA
Rfam family: Bacterial small subunit ribosomal RNA
Source: RNAcentral